AGGUCUUCGGACCGAGUAGAGUGGCGCACGGGUGAGUAACACGUGAGUAACCUACCCUUUGGUCUGGGAUAACAAGCCGAAAGGCUUGCUAAUACCGGAUAAGACCACGGUGUCCUCGGACGCAGUGGGAAAAGUUGGGGACCGGAGACGGCCUGACGCAGAAGGAUGGGCUCGCGGCCUAUCAGCUUGUUGGUGAGGUAAUGGCUCACCAAGGCUUAGACGGGUAGCUGGUCUGAGAGGAUGAUCAGUCACACUGGAACUGAGACACGGUCCAGACUCCUACGGGAGGCAGCAGUGGGGAAUUUUGCGCAAUGGGCGAAAGCCUGACGCAGCGACGCCGCGUGUGCGAUGAAGGCCCUUGGGUCGUAAAGCACUGUCAAGCGGGAAGAACAGUUUUCGGUUAAUACCCGGAGACUCUGACGGUACCGCUGGAGGAAGCACCGGCUAACUCUGUGCCAGCAGCCGCGGUAAUACAGAGGGUGCAAACGUUGUUCGGAAUUACUGGGCGUAAAGAGCUUGUAGGCGGCAUGUUAAGUCGACUGUGAAAGCCCAUGGCUCAACCAUGGAAGUGCAGUCGAUACUGGGCACGCUAGAGUCCCGGAGAGGGUGGUGGAAUUCCCAGUGUAGAAGUGAAAUUCGUAGAUAUUGGGAGGAACACCAGUGGCGAAGGCGACCACCUUGGACCGGGUACUGACCGCUGAGAAGCGAAAGCGUGGGGGAGCAAACAGAUUAAAUACCCUGGUAGUCCACGCCGGUAAACCGAUGAG
RNAcentral lists this ribosomal RNA (767 nucleotides) under uncultured bacterium. Its description in RNAcentral is "bacterial SSU rRNA". It matches the Rfam family "Bacterial small subunit ribosomal RNA", at positions 74 to 813 of the family's 1533-position model. The record is from RNAcentral.